This 839-nucleotide long non-coding RNA is filed under the name Equus asinus (donkey). RNAcentral's name for it is "lncRNA (ENSEASG00005029216.1)". Lineage: Eukaryota; Metazoa; Chordata; Mammalia; Perissodactyla; Equidae. The record is from RNAcentral.
GUGGGUUGCUUCCUCUGAUAUACUGCAAAAUAAUGGAGGAGGAGAGAGGAGUGAAGAAAAGGAAAAAGGCAAUAACAUUUAUUGAUGCUCACUAUUUGCCAGCAAAAUUCACGUGUGUCAUCUUAUUUCAGCUUCACAACCACCCUAGGAGUAUUGGUGUGUGUUUGCAUAAUUACUGUCUUUGUUGGAGGCCAACAUUUAUCGAAUCAUUAUUAUAUGCUAAGUGCUGAGUUGGGUCCAUGAAUUAGUUCAUCACGUCAACAUUAAUGCAGAGAGAUGGCUUAUCCUUGGAGUCUAUGUGGAUGAUCUUCUAGACACAUCUACCUGUGGGUCAUGGGGAAAAAUGACGAGUGGAGCUGCCAGCUGAACCUGUGAACACUUUGGCCAAACUCUGUUGGCGGAUAUCUCCCCUCUUCCUUUGUCCAGAUGUACCAGUGCUGAGAACAUUUGAGCUUUUCUCUGUGUUGCAUAUGGACGAAAAUGGUCACCUCUACCCAAACUCUACACCGGAAUUCAAGAACUCACCACUGUCUGAGCUUUGCCUCUGGGCCUAUUCCUGGUCCAGUCAUCUGAAGGGAAGAUGGAAGAUAUGAACAUCAGGGAGGAUGCAGUUCUUAGAGAAUGUACCUUACUAGGGAGGCAACAAGAUGUCUGCUACAGAGGGGCAUGUCCGAACUUUCCAAGACAGCAAUCUUUCCAUAAGACUCCACUGCUUAAGUAUUGUGGACAGUAGUAUUACUAUUUGUCAGUAGUUGCAUUUCUAUUCCUCACAACUGUUUCUACAGGAGGAUUAUACAUCCCUGCCCUAUUGAACUCAGUUAGAGUCAUGUGACUUGCUU